CGCCCCUUGGAAUGAUAUUUUGCGUUGUUUUACAGUUACUACUUGUUAUUACUUAAUCUAGUAUUAGUCCAUCGUAUGUAUGUACAUAUUAUGCUUGUGGCAGCAUGGCCCAUGGCAUAACCCCCCUUACCCCAGCCCGCAAAUAUUGAAUAUAUAUAAUAAAAAAAAUACUAGUCGAUGUAUUUUUAAUUGCACAUUACAAAUAAUCUAUUUAUUGUAAUUGAACCUCCGUAGUUUUUUAAUUAAAAAUAAAAAAGAAAUGUGCUAUAUGUACCUUGGAAAAAUACGUUUUUCUCAAGAAAUAUUGUGUUUACCGAUAUUCUAUCAACGUUAAAAAAUUGAACCCUAGCUAUUUGUAAUUGAGACACUGCUAAAUAUUGCAAAAAAAGCAUUUAUUUAUAAAAAAAUCUAAAAAAUCACUUUUGAGAAAUUUAACAUACAGCACCAACGUAUUGCGCAUGCGCAAACCACUCCGAGUGCGUCAGCGGUCAGCGUGUGGCAGGCAAAGCGAGCAGCUGUUCUGCAGUGGAGAAAAUACUUAGUGCUGCUGGCUGCACUUUGUGCUGCUGCUGAUGAUGUCGCAUCUGAAAGCAGUAUGCAGCGAUCCAGGGGUUGUGCCAUUGCCGCAAUCAAGGAUGGACUUUUCGGAUAUUCAUACAGGAAGUUCUGGUGGAGAUGAUUGUGAUGAGAAAUGACUGGACUGUGUGCACUAGGUGUGAGACUUACAGACCACCUAGGGCACAUCAUUGUAGGAUUUGUAAAAGGUGCAUUAGGAGAAUGGAUCAUCAAACUUUCUCCUGAUAUUCUUUUCUGUGUCCAUAUUUUGGAAAAACUGUGCUACUUACUCGCACUUGUUGGCAAUAAAGCAGAUAUGAUUCAUCUGAGGCGGAGGAAGGUGAAAUUAUGAAUAAAAUGUUAUAAUUCUUGAUGCAAGGAAAAAAGAACUAUUGUAUGCUUGUGAACACAUGUAAACAAACUUGAUUAUAUAUUAUACUUAUUUGUUUUGAAAUAUAUAAAUAUUCUAAAAUAUGAA
Molecule: long non-coding RNA, 1033 nt
Organism: Nasonia vitripennis (jewel wasp)
Lineage: Eukaryota; Metazoa; Arthropoda; Insecta; Hymenoptera; Pteromalidae
Exons: 2
Source: RefSeq, a predicted model, not a curated record